UAGGGAAUCUUCCACAAUGGACGAAAGUCUGAUGGAGCAACGCCGCGUGAGUGAUGAAGGGUUUCGGCUCGUAAAACUCUGUUGUUGGAGAAGAACGGGUGUCAGAGUAACUGUUGACAUCGUGACGGUAUCCAACCAGAAAGCCACGGCUAACUACGUGCCAGCAGCCGCGGUAAUACGUAGGUGGCAAGCGUUGUCCGGAUUUAUUGGGCGUAAAGCGAGCGCAGGCGGUUUUUUAGGUCUGAUGUGAAAGCCUUCGGCUUAACCGGAGAAGUGCAUCGGAAACCGGGAGACUUGAGUGCAGAAGAGGACAGUGGAACUCCAUGUGUAGCGGUGAAAUGCGUAGAUAUAUGGAAGAACACCAGUGGCGAAGGCGGCUGUCUGGUCUGCAAACUGACGCUGAGGCUCGAAAGCAUGGGUAGCGAACAGGAUUAGAUACCCUUGGUAGUCCAUGCCGUAAACGAUGAGUGCUAAG
RNAcentral lists this ribosomal RNA (475 nucleotides) under uncultured bacterium. RNAcentral describes it as "partial 16S ribosomal RNA". It matches the Rfam family "Bacterial small subunit ribosomal RNA", at positions 355 to 820 of the family's 1533-position model. The record is from RNAcentral.